AUUCUCUUCCAUUUUCUCUCAUAUAUAUAUAUAUAUAUAUAUAUAUAUAUAUAUAUAUAUAUAUAUAUAUACACACAUACAUAUCUAUCCAUAUUGGAGUGAAUCUUAACUUCCCCUGAAGUCAAAUGUUCACGUUGUCUCCCAUUAACAUCAACGCAGUGCUAUGUAGUAAAAAUUCGACUUGAGUGGAAGUUAGGAUUUGCCUCAGAAAAUGCACUCUCUGAAAAUGACUUGCAUUACAUUGACGGAGAGGAGUCCAACCUUCCACUCUCUGAAAAUGACUUGCAUUACAUUGACGGAGAGGAGUCCAACCUUCCACUCUCUGAAAAUGACUUGCAUUACAUUGACGGAGAGGAGUCCAACCUUCCACUCUCUGAAAAUGACUUGCAUUACAUUGACGGAGAGGAGUCCAAUCUUCCACUCUAUGAAAAUGUUUUGGUUAUGCAGGAAUCUCGUAUGGUGAGACAGACAGAGAAAAGAGAUGUUUAACGCUAAGCUUAAAUCCAAUGAACAACCCAAAUAACACUAACAGUAAUCCAUAUGCAAUCUGUACGUAUGUACACAGGGAGCAUUUACACAUUGUACUGUAUACUAAGAAUGACAGAGUACAACAGUAGAUAGAUAUAUUACAGUGAGCUAUGUCAAGAAUCAGUUUAUAAUAAAUAUGUGGUGAGUGUAUAAACAGUAACUACAAUGCAAUGUACAGCAGUAGAAAUAUUAGAAUGAGCUAUAUGAAGAAUACAGUAUUUAAUCACAACACUAAUGUAUUACCAAUACUGUAAUAACUGUUUUCCCGAGCUGUACAUUGUUUUGUUUUUUCCAGUUUGGGUCGCCUGCUGUCGUUGACAGAGAGGAGUCCAAUCACCCUCUUUAUGAAGAGGUUUUGGUUACGCAGGAAACGCGUACGGGUGGCCAAAGUGACAGGAGUGGGUAGCUCCAGUGCCAUAGAGGCCAGACGUAAGGCAUCGGGGGUGCUCCAAGGCUUUGCUCUGGGCAUGGAUAUCUACUUCACGAAGCAAGAGGAUGCUCCAAGGCUUCGCUCUGGGCAUGGAUAUCUACUUCACGAAGCAAGAGGAUGCUCCAAGGCUUCGCUCUGGGCAUGGAUAUCUACUUCACGAAGCAAGAGGAUGGUCCAAGGCUUCGCUCUGGGCAUGGAUAUCUACUUCACGAAGCAAGAGGAUGGUCCAAAGCUGAAGAAAGGACUGAAGUACAAGUUUGGGGAAAAAGAAACGCAAAGUGUCUCAGCAGCUGAAUGAAGGGCUGGAUGAAGUGUUCGAGGCCAAAGACAAGCUAGCGGAAAAUAAUCUCUUCCUCUGAGGUGGAGGAGACGGAGAAAGAGGAUGAGGAGCCAAAUCAAUGUUUAUUUGUAAGGUGAAAAUAAUAUAGGGUGUAAACUGUACAGUGAAAUUCUUACUUGGAAGCUCUCAACAUUCCAGUAACAUUACACUUUGUCAAAAAUAUUAGCAAUAAAAAAAGUCAUACAAAAUAUGUAGGAAAAUAAACCAUUUUUGGUUAUUUUAUUCUGAUCUGUUCUAUUCUGUCCUAUAAUGUUUUAUUCUAUUAAUAGUUGAGAUUGUCUGUGAAUAAGAAGGCAUGAUGAGGUUGUUAAUCAUGGUUUGUCAGGACUCUUGACAGCUGCUUUUCCAGAUGUAGAUAUUUUUACUAAUAACUUCAACAAAUGCACCACUCGAUUGACUCAAUAUGUAAUAAACAAAUAACCUUGAAUUCAUUAUAUAUACAUCUCCGUCAACAAAAUUGAGAGACAAUAUUUUUGCUCAAACUAUAUUUUUUUCAAAUGAUCUUUCUAAAGAACCAUUUCUAUAUUGUCACGUAUACCAAACAUUAGGAACCUAUUCCUAAUAUUCAGUUGCACCCCCCCCCCCCCCCCCCCCCCCUUUCACUCCCAGAACAGCCUCAAUUCGUUGGGGCAUGGGCUCUACAAGGUGUUGAAAGCGUUCCACAGGGAUGCUGGCCCAUGUUGACUCCAAUGUUUCUCACGGUUGUGUCAAGUUGACUGGAUGUCCUUUGGGUAGUGGACCAUUCCUGAUACACACGGGAAACUGUUGAGCGUGAAAAACCCAGCAGUGUUGCAGUUCUUGAUACAAACCAGUGUGCCUGUCUUGCCCAUUUCCCCCUCUGAAUGGUAUACAUACACAAUCCAUGUCUCAAUUGUCUCUAGGCUUAAAAAUCCAUCUUUAUUCUGUCUCCUCCCCUUCAUCUACACUGAAGUGAAUUUAACAAGUGACAUCAAUAAGGGAUCAUGGCUCUUACCUGGAUUUAACUAGUCAGUCUGUGAUGGAAAUAACAGGUGUUCUUAAUGUUUUGUAUACUCAGUGUAUAUCUGUACUAUACAUUUGUUGUUAAAAAUGUCAAAUAAAUUGACAUUUUUAUUUUUACUACCCACUAGACCCUGACUUUGAAUACCACUGGUCAAAUGGAACCGUAACAUUGUCUGUUUCUCAAAUGGCACCAUAUAGGGCUGUGGUCAAAAGUAGUGCACUACAUGGGGAAUAGGGUACUAGUUUGAUGUACCAUAGACAAUGGAGAACUCAGUGACCUCCACUACUUCUUUAUUUGGCUUUUCAACCACCAGGUGGAGAGAUUGGACAUGUAUUCAUUAUAAUGUAAUAAUGAGUUGUCAUCAGAAUAUAACUAAACCAUAUCUGUUUAUAAAAUUGAAAUUAAGUUACCACAAUUUUCGUUUUCAUCUGUUGAUUAGUUACCGUUGAUUAGUCUUCAGUUAAGUUAAUAAAGACACUCG
Molecule: long non-coding RNA, 2761 nt
Filed under: Oncorhynchus kisutch (coho salmon)
Lineage: Eukaryota; Metazoa; Chordata; Actinopteri; Salmoniformes; Salmonidae
Description: lncRNA (ENSOKIG00005036078.1)
Source: RNAcentral